Molecule: long non-coding RNA, 1323 nt
Organism: Anguilla rostrata (American eel)
Lineage: Eukaryota; Metazoa; Chordata; Actinopteri; Anguilliformes; Anguillidae
Exons: 2
Source: RefSeq, a predicted model, not a curated record
CGCAAUAAUGAUGCUAGCAUAGCAAUCACUACAACAUUACCAGACAUCAGUUCUCGCACACUGUUAAAGUGGGCAUAUUCUCUGCCAAUACAUGCAUGGUUGUGCUACCUCUGAAUCCAAAGUGGUCACACUGACCUCAUAGUCAGAGUUGUGUACGUUAUUGAUUAAAUUGAUUAUCUACAGGUACUACACACAUUUGGCAUCCCAAUAAAUAUACAUUAGGGGUAAUUUAUUUAUUUCAAGUGGUGGAAAAUCAAGAUGUUAUGAGAGACUAAGGGGAUCUGCUUGAGGAGUCCAUGUUGUGUGUGCUCCAAACGCUCUCUGUGUAACAGUUGAAAAUGUUUCACUCCAAACAUAUUGCUAAAAUAGGGCCUUAGAAACUGGUAAAUGUUGUUUUAAACUGAUUUUUGGAAAGAAAAAAAUGGUGUAUCUAGGGUGCCUGAAAGGAAAUGUUGCACUGGGUCUCACAGGGUUAAUCCCGGUUUGGUUAUUACACUACCAUGGAGUGUUCCACUUUCACAGUUUCAAAAUGUCCCCAUGAAUGUCCUUGAGAGUGUCCAUAAGCAUGCAGAAAGUAGGGAAGCGUAUUAAAGCAGUGCAACAUAGGCCGGAAGUGAGCGUGGUGAAAACCGGGAGUGGGUGGUGUUUAACACGGAAGCUGCAUUCAAUGCCAAAAAUCCCAGAUUUUUACUGUUAUAAUCACUGGCACUGCUAUUGUUGAGAUAUGAAAGAAAAGUAUGUUCAUGGCGUUAAAGUGACAAAACAAGCUGUGGUUUGGUAUUUUCCUUCAUUAAUUUUUUGUGUGACUGUAACCUGCCCAUGUAUGUAACAUUUGUUGUUUAAAGUAGCUGACCAUCAUCUUUAGACUAGACAUUGAAGAAUGAUUUAAUACAUCUCUUCAUUUUAAUCUGGUAGUGAGUUGUACAUUUUAAUAAAGGUUAAUCCAACAGGUUGCUCUGCCUACCAACAAAUUCAGCAAUUUAAUUGAUAAUUGAUAUCUUUGAUAAUAAUUACCAAAUUCAAUAAAAUAUAUUUUAUUUGUUGUAUUGGUACACUUGUGUUUGACUGUCCCAACAAUACAAUCAGCUAUGCGUUUGAGUCUUUGAAUUUAUGGAGAAAUACUUGGAAGGAUUGAAUUUUGUUAUUAUUUACUUGUAAUAUGAAGUUGUGUUCUAUAUUUUUUGCAAUCCUUUUGAAUGUAGAAGGUGACAUUACCGAUAAAUAAUGUUACUCUUUUACACUUUGAGCAACAAGACAGUGUCCUGCUUAUUUGGUCUGCUUCUUGCUGCUAAAAUUAAAGGGAAAAGAUUCAAUGAUCUUGAG